AUUGCUUCUCGGCCUUUUGGCUAAGAUCAAGUGUAGUAAAGCACUUCUAAUAACCAUAUUUUAUAACAUAAAAAUUUCAACAUUU
This 85-nucleotide small nuclear RNA is filed under the name Fukomys damarensis (Damara mole-rat). Its description in RNAcentral is "U2 spliceosomal RNA". It matches the Rfam family "U2 spliceosomal RNA". Rfam says of the family: U2 is a small nuclear RNA (snRNA) component of the spliceosome (involved in pre-mRNA splicing). Lineage: Eukaryota; Metazoa; Chordata; Mammalia; Rodentia; Bathyergidae. The record is from Rfam by way of RNAcentral.